This 65-nucleotide transfer RNA is filed under the name Ophiura albida. RNAcentral's name for it is "transfer RNA-Gly". Lineage: Eukaryota; Metazoa; Echinodermata; Ophiuroidea; Amphilepidida; Ophiuridae. The record is from RNAcentral.
UCUUGUAAGUAUAAAUAGUACUUCUGAUUUCCAAUCAGAGAGAUUGCAUAAUUGCAAACAAGAUA